GUCCUUUUGAUAUUUAUAUAAGGUCUGACCUGCCCACUGAUUUUUUUGAAGGGCCGCAGUAAUUUGACUGUGCAAAGGUAGCAUAAUCAUUAGUUUUUUAAUUAAAAGCUUGUAUGAAGGGUUGGACGAGGUAAAAUCUGUCUCUAUUUAAAUUAUUAUAGAAUUUAAUUUUUAAGUUAAAAAGCUUAAAUUUAUUUAAAAGACGAGAAGACCCUAUAGAUCUUUAUAUAAAUUAUAUUAAUUUUAAUUAAGAAUAUUUUAUUUAUUAUUAUUAUUUAUAUUUUAUUGGGGUAAUAAAAAGAUUAAGAAAAUUCUUUUUUUAUUUAAACAUUGAUUUAUGAUUAAAUGAUCCAAUAUUUUUGAUUAAAAGAUUAAGUUACCUUAGGGAUAACAGCGUAAUUUUUUUAGAGAGUUCAUAUCGAUAAAAAAGUUUGCGACCUCGAUGUUGGAUUAAAAAUUAUCUUAGGUGCAGAAGUUUAAGAUUUUGGUCUGUUCGACCAUUAAAUUUUUACA
This 513-nucleotide ribosomal RNA is filed under the name Colymbetes paykulli. Its description in RNAcentral is "partial 16S ribosomal RNA". It matches the Rfam family "Bacterial large subunit ribosomal RNA", at positions 1819 to 2600 of the family's 2925-position model. The record is from RNAcentral. Lineage: Eukaryota; Metazoa; Arthropoda; Insecta; Coleoptera; Dytiscidae.